This 253-nucleotide ribosomal RNA is filed under the name uncultured bacterium. Its description in RNAcentral is "partial 16S ribosomal RNA". It matches the Rfam family "Bacterial small subunit ribosomal RNA", at positions 524 to 776 of the family's 1533-position model. The record is from RNAcentral.
UACAGAGGUGGCAAGCGUUGUUCGGAAUUACUGGGCGUAAAGGGCGCGUAGGCGGCCUUCUAAGUCGAACGUGAAAUCCCCGGGCUCAACCCGGGAACUGCGUCCGAUACUGGAUGGCUUGAAUCCGGGAGAGGGAUGCGGAAUUCCAGGUGUAGCGGUGAAAUGCGUAGAUAUCGAGAGGAACACCGGUGGCGAAGGCGGCCUUCUGGACAGAGACUGACGCUGAGGCGCGAAAGCGUGGGGAGCAAACAGG